Molecule: ribosomal RNA, 750 nt
Filed under: uncultured bacterium
Lineage: Bacteria
Description: bacterial SSU rRNA
Rfam family: Bacterial small subunit ribosomal RNA
Source: RNAcentral
ACACAUGCAGUCGAACGCACUCUUCGGAGUGAGUGGCAGACGGGUGAGUAACGCGUGGGAACCUACCUAAUGGUACGGAAUAACUCGGGGAACCCGUGCUAAUACCGUAUAAGCCCGAGAGGGGAAAGAUUUAUCGCCAUUAGAUGGGCCCGCGUUGGAUUAGCUAGUUGGUGAGGUAAUGGCUCACCAAGGCGACGAUCCAUAGCUGGUCUGAGAGGAUGAUCAGCCACACUGGGACUGAGACACGGCCCAGACUCCUACGGGAGGCAGCAGUGGGGAAUAUUGGACAAUGGGCGAAAGCCUGAUCCAGCCAUGCCGCGUGAGUGACGAAGGCCUUAGGGUUGUAAAGCUCUUUUGGCGGGGACGAUAAUGACGGUACCCGCAGAAUAAGCCCCGGCUAACUUCGUGCCAGCAGCCGCGGUAAUACGAAGGGGGCUAGCGUUGUUCGGAAUCACUGGGCGUAAAGCGCACGUAGGCGGAUUUGUAAGUUAGGGGUGAAAUCCCGGGGCUCAACCUCGGAACUGCCCUUGAUACUGCAAGUCUAGAGUCCGAGAGAGGUGAGUGGAAUUCCUAGUGUAGAGGUGAAAUUCGUAGAUAUUAGGAAGAACACCAGUGGCGAAGGCGGCUCACUGGCUCGGUACUGACGCUGAGGUGCGAAAGCGUGGGGGAGCAAACAGGAUUAGAUACCCUGGUAGUCCACGCCGUAACGAUGGAUGCUAGCCGUCAGCAAGCAUGCUUGUUGGUGGCGCA